CCCUUAGCUCACACAGCCAGCUAGAAGUAAGGAAGGACAAUGAAGCUGAGAAUAAAGGACAGUGGCAAUAAUAGAUACAACAAUGGGAGAAACAAGAGAGGCCAGGAUGGAGAAGAAAGAAAGAACUAUCAAACAAAAAGGGGAAAACGAAUAGGAAAGAAGUGGGGAUUGGACUGACAGAAUGAAACCAGGAAAACUGCUGCAGAGUGAGAGUCUUCUAAAUGGAUUAAGAAGCCUAUCUCAAUCCCUCUGGAGAGUCCUCUUCAAUUCACAAUGAAGAUGUUGAAGAGCAGGGACAGACAUCAACACUCCUCUCCCCACCUUCCCCACUGGCAGAGGCAUUCAGGUCACUACUAGUGUCUCUCUUUCUCUUUUCCCCUUCUCUUAAUCUCUCACUGCCCUUCUCUCCAUGUCAUAUUCUCUUUUUCUCCUUCCCUCUCUUCCUUCUUACCUACUAAACUCCAUAUGUACCAAAAUCAGUCAAAGCUCUACUAUCUAGCUCUCUUUAUCUAGACUAAAGGAGUUGUCCACCUCUUGGUCUAGAUAACACUUGCAAAUAAAGACCUGCUCGUUUCCCAAA
Molecule: long non-coding RNA, 580 nt
Organism: Homo sapiens (human)
Lineage: Eukaryota; Metazoa; Chordata; Mammalia; Primates; Hominidae
Source: Ensembl